CAUCCGUGCUCAGGGUGAUGCUGAUGGUGCUCUGGACAGGCUUUGGCAGAAGAAGAAAGUAGAAGCUCGCCAGCAGUAAAAAGUAGCUAUAGGGUGUUUUGCAGUGGAAGAUGUGGUUUUAGUUUCAACUUUAUGACCUCUGCUUGGUACUCUAUGAUUUAGUUAUUUUGUUUCCCUGGUUGGACAAAGCUGAAGGCUGGCAUUUGUGUUUAAUUUUGAAGUUUAAUUUGACUUUUUUUCAAGGAUUAUGUUUCUUAAUGUUAUUAGGGAUUGGGACAACUCAUUUAGCUUUGUUAGCUAGCAGUUAUGUUUCUUAAUGUUAUAUGAGGGAUUGG
Molecule: unclassified non-coding RNA, 335 nt
Filed under: Hevea brasiliensis (rubber tree)
Lineage: Eukaryota; Viridiplantae; Streptophyta; Magnoliopsida; Malpighiales; Euphorbiaceae
Source: RNAcentral